This 72-nucleotide transfer RNA is filed under the name Ovis aries (sheep). It matches the Rfam family "tRNA". Rfam says of the family: Transfer RNA (tRNA) molecules are approximately 80 nucleotides in length. Their secondary structure includes four short double-helical elements and three loops (D, anti-codon, and T loops). Lineage: Eukaryota; Metazoa; Chordata; Mammalia; Artiodactyla; Bovidae. The record is from Rfam by way of RNAcentral.
UCCCAGGUGGCUCAGUGGGUAAAGAAUCUGCCUGCAAUGCAGGAGACUCAGGUUUAAUCCCCGAGUUGGGAA